RNAcentral lists this ribosomal RNA (466 nucleotides) under uncultured bacterium. RNAcentral's name for it is "partial 16S ribosomal RNA". It matches the Rfam family "Bacterial small subunit ribosomal RNA", at positions 338 to 795 of the family's 1533-position model. The record is from RNAcentral.
CCUACGGGUGGCAGCAGUCGAGAAUCAUUCACAAUGGGGGAAACCCUGAUGGUGCGACGCCGCGUGGGGGAAUGAAGGUCUUCGGAUUGUAAAACCCUGUUGUUAGAGAAGAAAGUGCGUGAGAGUAACUGUUCACGUUUCGACGGUAUCUAACCAGACAGCCACGUCUAACUACGUGCCAGCAGCAGCGGUAAUACGUAGGUGGCAAGCGUUAUCCGGAUUUAUUGGGCGUAAAGGGGACGCAGGCGGUCUUUUAAGUCUGAUGUGAAAGCCUUCGGCUUAACCGGAGUAGUGCAUUGGAAACUGGGAGACUUGAGUGCAGAAGAGGAGAGUGGAACUACAUGUGUAGCGGUGAAAUGCGUAGAUAUAUGGAAGAACACCAGUGGCGAAAGCGGCUCUCUGGUCUGUAACUGACGCUGAGGUUCGAAAGCGUGGGUAGCAAACAGGAUUAGAUACCCCAGUAGUC